RNAcentral lists this non-coding RNA (173 nucleotides) under bovine gut metagenome. The record is from RNAcentral.
ACGGAAGCGCUUUAAAAGGGAAACAGGUGAGAGACCUGUGCUAUCCCGUAACUGUAAUUGAUUUGGUCUUUCAUAAAGUCACUGGAGAGAUCCGGGCGGAUGAUCUGCCUGCUGUAUGCUCCGGGAAGGCGAAAGUCCUUACAUCAUAAGCCAGGAGACCUGCUUUCUGUACA